GGGGAUGUAGCACAGUGGUAGAGUGCUUGCCUAGCAUAGGCAAGGUCCUGGGUUCAAUCCUAGCAUCACAA
Molecule: transfer RNA, 71 nt
Filed under: Mus musculus (house mouse)
Lineage: Eukaryota; Metazoa; Chordata; Mammalia; Rodentia; Muridae
Rfam family: tRNA
About the family: Transfer RNA (tRNA) molecules are approximately 80 nucleotides in length. Their secondary structure includes four short double-helical elements and three loops (D, anti-codon, and T loops). Further hydrogen bonds mediate the characteristic L-shaped molecular structure. tRNAs have two regions of fundamental functional importance: the anti-codon, which is responsible for specific mRNA codon recognition, and the 3' end, to which the tRNAs corresponding amino acid is attached (by aminoacyl-tRNA synthetases). tRNAs cope with the degeneracy of the genetic code in two manners: having more than one tRNA (with a specific anti-codon) for a particular amino acid; and 'wobble' base-pairing, i.e. permitting non-standard base-pairing at the 3rd anti-codon position.
Source: Rfam by way of RNAcentral